GAUGAAGAACGUAGCGAAAUGCGAUAAGUAAUGUGAAUUGCAGAAUUCAGUGAAUUAUCGAAUCUUUGAACGCACCUUGCGCCCUUUGGCUAUUCUGAAGGGCAUGCCUGUUUGAGUAUCAUGAACACCUCAACUCUCAUGGUUCGCCAUGAUGAGCUUGGACUUUGGGGGUCUUGCUGGCCUACGGUCGGCUCCUCUUAAAUGAAUCAGCUUGCCAGUGUUUGGUAGAGUCGCAGGUGUGAUAACUAUCUACGCUUGUGGUUUUCUGCCAGAUAACCUUCAGUGAUGGAGGUUCGCUGGAGCUUAUAAAUGUCUCUCCCCAGUGAGGACAGCUUUUUGAACGUUUGAUCUCAAAUCAGGUAGGACUACCCGCUGAACUUAAGCAUAUCAAUAAGCGGAGGA
Molecule: unclassified non-coding RNA, 402 nt
Filed under: soil metagenome
Description: partial contains 5.8S ribosomal RNA, internal transcribed spacer 2, and large subunit ribosomal RNA
Rfam family: 5.8S ribosomal RNA (bases 1-121)
Source: RNAcentral